CGAUGGCCGCGCCCGUGCCCUUGAUCAUGUCGCGCAUCGCCGUGUUCUCGCGCUUG
Molecule: transfer RNA, 56 nt
Filed under: Prymnesium polylepis
Lineage: Eukaryota; Haptophyta; Prymnesiales; Prymnesiaceae
Source: RNAcentral